This 329-nucleotide ribosomal RNA is filed under the name uncultured bacterium. Its description in RNAcentral is "bacterial SSU rRNA". It matches the Rfam family "Bacterial small subunit ribosomal RNA", at positions 32 to 345 of the family's 1533-position model. The record is from RNAcentral.
AACGUUAGCGGCGGGCUUAACACAUGCAAGUCGAGCGAGAAAGGGGGCUUCGGUCCCCGAGUAAAGCGGCGGACGGGUGAGUAACACGUGGGUAAUCUGCCCUUCAGCGGGGGACAACAGUCCGAAAGGACUGCUAAUACCGCAUACGUCACGAGGCCCUGCGGGGCUUUGUGGGAAAGCUGGCCUCUACUUGUAAGCUGGCACUGAAGGAGGAGCCCGCGUCGCAUCAGCUAGUUGGUGAGGUAAUGGCUCACCAAGGCUAAGACGCGUAGCUGGCUGAGAGGUGAUCAGCCACACUGGGACUGAGACACGGCCCAGACUCCUACGGG